AGCUUUUGUAUUCGUGCUGAGGUUUCGUCAACAAACAUUCCAUUAGGGUUGAUGCAACUCCGCGUAUAAAUGAAGUU
Molecule: microRNA precursor, 77 nt
Filed under: Trichobilharzia regenti
Lineage: Eukaryota; Metazoa; Platyhelminthes; Trematoda; Strigeidida; Schistosomatidae
Description: mir-3492 microRNA precursor family
Rfam family: mir-3492 microRNA precursor family
Source: Rfam by way of RNAcentral